GCAAGAGCUCACGCUCCCGGCCUGGGCGCACGCUUAGGAUCCGGAUUCCUACUUCCAGGGCUGGUCCUGCCUGAUUUUGGGGGCUAACCCAUUCUUCCGCUCUCCCCCCACUCUUCCCCAGGGGUCGUCAGGCCUCUGCAAAGGAGCGUGCAAGACAGAGGCCUUCUCCAGUAUGGAAGUCACCAGGAGGCAGUCUAGGGGCUGUGGGGGUCAACACGGCAGGUCUGGGGUUGAUGGAAGUCAAAGGGUCAAGGGGGCGGUGAGAGUUGCCGGGUAUCACCCUGUAGGGGGAUCACCAGAAGUCACCUGGGAAAGGGGAGGGCGGCGGGAACAUCAGCGUUGUUAGAGCUGUGGGGUGGUCACCAGGGAUCACAGGGAAGGGCUUGUCCACGCAGAUGCUAGGGCCGAGCGCUAGCCUGGCACUGAGAAGUGCCAGAGCGCGGUCGUUGUGGGUUGGGAGUGGGCAGGCCUCAAUGCUGGGGAAAGGAACCCCCCAAAUCGCAGAGAGCUGCACCCUAGACGAGGCUGAGAGGGGUAGAACGGGCCUGGAGCCUCACUCCUACCCCACGUGUGGGGGCCUGCCUGCUUUCGUCCCUUUCUGGACGGUGGAGAAGCUGCCUGGAGAUUGCGAGCGCUCUGGCCGAUGGGGGGCUAGCGUUGAGCGUGUGUGCGCGCAUGCGGGCUGCAGAUCCUCCCUUUUCCAUCCCGCACCUACAACCCAAUUGACAGCCCCGCAUUUGGGGCUCCCAUUCCUCCCUUUGCCCAGUGGAGCUUGGUGAGGCUCCUUUAUGGCGCGUUUCCCGGCCGUUCCUUACUUUCCCAAACUCUCCCAGGGAGGUGACUGAGAAACUGAAUAAGUGACUGAGAAACUGAAUAAUCCAGCAGGAAGGAGGGGGCUCCAGCGUGGCGGGAACUGAGUCACGCGGUUGCCUAGCCCGACUCGAGACUGAGACGGGAGCCGCACCACGCGCUUUCGGACAAGGAGGGUGCUGCGGCCCGGCCCCUGGACAAUGGAGAGAGCGGGGCACCCGGGCGCAUCACCAGAGCUCAUGCCCGGGAAAGGGGCGAGGCCCGGGGGGAGAGAGCUCAGCGUAGCUCCACUUGGCAGCUAAAGAAACAGGCGCCCGGGACGGAAAUGACUCGCGCCCGGACACGGCGACAGGGAGAGCAUGGGAAGUGCUUCCUUCGCCCGGCGGGUUCGAGCGAGUAGCACUUUACUUUCCCUACAGGUGGAGGCGGGCCUUGGUGCGCGGCUGUCCAUCUCCGGACCGCCCACCCGGGCACUGGCCCAUGCGUCUCCUCCCCCGGAAGCGGUAAGCGAAUCAGGCGCGGGGGAAGGGAGAACGUUGCUCCUCGGGCCCCUCCUCCCGAUAAGCCUGGAAUGUCAAAUAUUUGUUCGCGGGGCGGGGCGCAACCGCGAGUAACGCUCCUCCCCCUCCCGCCCGGUAGGGCGCCUGCGCUUGGUGGAGGCG
This 1472-nucleotide long non-coding RNA is filed under the name Homo sapiens (human). RNAcentral's name for it is "HSALNT0386684". The record is from RNAcentral. Lineage: Eukaryota; Metazoa; Chordata; Mammalia; Primates; Hominidae.